AGGAAUAUUGCGCAAUGGGGGAAACCCUGACGCAGCAACGCCGCGUGUGGGAAGAAGGCCUUCGGGUCGUAAACCACUUUUGCACGGGACGAAAAAGGGAUAUCGAACAAAUAUCCCCGAUGACGGUACCGUGAGAAUAAGCCACGGCUAACUCUGUGCCAGCAGCCGCGGUAAGACAGAGGUGGCAAGCGUUGUUCGGAAUUACUGGGCGUAAAGAGUCUGUAGGUGGUUUGUCAAGUCUUUUGGNGAAAGGCCGUAGCUUAACUAUGGGAAUGCCAAAAGAGACUGGCAGGCUGGAGGCUGGGAGAGGGAAGCGGAAUUUCUGGUGUAGCGGUGAAAUGCGUAGAUAUCAGAAGGAAGGCCGUGGCGAAGGCGGCUUCCUGGAACAGUCCUGACACUGAGAGACGAAAGCGUGGGGA
This 419-nucleotide ribosomal RNA is filed under the name uncultured bacterium. RNAcentral describes it as "bacterial SSU rRNA". It matches the Rfam family "Bacterial small subunit ribosomal RNA", at positions 357 to 767 of the family's 1533-position model. The record is from RNAcentral.